AAACGGCCGCGUUAGCGUGAGCGUGCUAAGGUAGCGUAAUCAAUAGCCUUUUAAUUGGAGGCCAGUGAAUGGCAAGACUAGGGACACCUGUACCCAACAUGAAAAAACAACUUUUCAUCUAGGUGAAAAGACCCAGAUAAUAAAGGAAGACGAAAAGACCCCGCGGAACUUUACCUUUUCUAGUCUCCACAUGCUUAGAAACAAAAAAACAAAAGGUUUGAUUGGGGCAAUCUCGGAACCAUCCAAACUUCCGACCCAAAAAUAAAAACAUAUAAAACUCAGUAAGGACCAAAAAGAAGUUACCCCGGGGAUAACAGCGUAAUCUAAUUUGAGAGUACAUAUCGAAAAUUGGGUUUGCGACCUCGAUGUUGGCUUAAGG
RNAcentral lists this ribosomal RNA (379 nucleotides) under Lemiox rimosus. RNAcentral's name for it is "partial 16S ribosomal RNA". It matches the Rfam family "Bacterial large subunit ribosomal RNA", at positions 1925 to 2542 of the family's 2925-position model. Lineage: Eukaryota; Metazoa; Mollusca; Bivalvia; Unionida; Unionidae. The record is from RNAcentral.